GACGAACGCUGGCGGCGUGCCUAAUACAUGCAAGUAGAACGCACAGUUUAUACCGUAGCUUGCUACACCAUAGACUGUGAGUUGCGAACGGGUGAGUAACGCGUAGGUAACCUGCCUGGUAGCGGGGGAUAACUAUUGGAAACGAUAGCUAAUACCGCAUAAUAUUAAUUAUUGCAUGAUAAUUAAUUGAAAGGUGCAAUUGCACCACUACCAGAUGGACCUGCGUUGUAUUAGCUAGUAGGUGAGGUAACGGCUCACCUAGGCGACGAUACAUAGCCGACCUGGGAGGGUGGUCGGCCACACUGGGACUGAGACACGGCCCAGACUCCUACGGGAGGCAGCAGUAGGGAAUCUUCGGCAAUGGACGGAAGUCUGACCGAGCAACGCCGCGUGAGUGAAGAAGGUUUUCGGAUCGUAAAGCUCUGUUGUAAGGGAAGAACGGGUGUGAGAGUGGAAAGUUCACACUGUGACGGUAUCUUACCAGAAAGGGACGGCUAACUACGUG
This 505-nucleotide ribosomal RNA is filed under the name uncultured bacterium. RNAcentral describes it as "partial 16S ribosomal RNA". It matches the Rfam family "Bacterial small subunit ribosomal RNA", at positions 28 to 507 of the family's 1533-position model. The record is from RNAcentral.